Molecule: ribosomal RNA, 276 nt
Filed under: uncultured bacterium
Lineage: Bacteria
Description: partial 16S ribosomal RNA
Rfam family: Bacterial small subunit ribosomal RNA
Source: RNAcentral
GUGCCUAACACAUGCAAGUCGCACGAGAAAGGGUAGCAAUACCUGAGUACAGUGGCGCACGGGUGAGUAACACGUGAAUGAUCUACCUCCGAGUGGGGAAUAACUGAGAGAAAUCUUGGCUAAUACCGCAUAACACUUACGAGUCAAAGCAGCAAUGCGCUUGGAGAGGAGUUCGCGGCCGAUUAGCUAGUUGGCGGGGUAAUGGCCCACCAAGGCGAUGAUCGGUAUCCGGCCUGAGAGGGCGCACGGACACACUGGAACUGAAACACGGUCCAG